This 303-nucleotide long non-coding RNA is filed under the name Ananas comosus (pineapple). RNAcentral describes it as "long non-coding RNA (ACOM_LNC008445)". The record is from RNAcentral. Lineage: Eukaryota; Viridiplantae; Streptophyta; Magnoliopsida; Poales; Bromeliaceae.
AUGUACCAAAGGGACUAUUUAAGGUGUAUCAACACACAUAUAGAUAUGCCAACUGUUCCUAGCACAAAUGGCAAACGGUUUAAUGGUUGGUAUUCAAAAUUUUAAGUUUAAAAUCUAGUUGCUUAACAUUUUUAGCUAAAUUUAUUUUUUAAAAAAUAAACGAAAUGGAUAGAAUGCUAACUUUCUUUUUUUAAAAAAAAACAUACAUAGAUAUAUGUGACACCCUACUUCCUAAGAAGUCAUCCAUCCUAAAACUAUUAUAACUCUAGUAAUCUAUAACCCCUAUGAAAGUCCGUUCUCCUU